GCUUUCGCCCAAUCCCCCCGCGUGCUCCGCUCCCAAUACUCGUCGCAAGCCAGAGCCCACACCCGCACCAACCCUAGCCUCCACACCUCACCUUCUCACAGCCGCCGCUCCAUUCCUCCCUUCCGCCCCCUCCUCCUUCCCGGAUCCCCACCACGGCGCCGACCUGCAGGCAAAGGGCGACAGCGGCGGCGCUCAGUUAGAUUUGUAGGAGAGAGAAGAUGAGAGGGAGAGAGAGGAGGGAGAAAGAGAGGAAGAGGAGAGGAGGCACGGCGUCGGAUGGGAGAGAGCAGGGGAGGGCCAAGAGGCCAACGGUGUGGGGUGGAGCAGCGAUGCCGAAGACCGGGCAGCGGACGCCUCACGGGGUGGAGGAGAGGUCGAUGGGCGGAGCCGUUCGCUCGCCGGACGUGGCGGCGCCAGGUUCCAGAUCGGACGCAGGUUAGGUGAGGGCGUGAGGCCGAUGGUGGUCCUUCUCAACCCGAGCUCACCUCACCCUCGCGGCGGCGACCAGCAGCUCGAGUAGGAAUGGUAAGGGCCCGUCAAGAUCUGGCCAGUGCCGUGCUCCCUGGCGCCCGCACAUAGCGGACUGUCCUCUGAUGGAGCAUAGGAGCAGCGGUCGCGGUUGGACGCCAUGAGCUGCCUGAGGUGAGGAACGGGCGCGCCCAACACCGUCCUCCAAUAAGUCCUUCCCGGUAGAGAAAGCCAACUCUCGGAUUUCAGUAAGGAAGGCGCGGCCACCAUGCCAUGUCCAUGGCACCAUCGACCCUUCACCCGCCUCCUCUUUGAAGUGCAGCACCAUCGUACCCCCUUUGGCCCUUCCCGCCCAGUUUUGCCUCACCAUAGGAGGAAUACGGGAGCUGCCUGCCUGCCUGCUACCCCAAAAGGAUGCGUCACCCAGUGGAAAUGCCUCUGGCUCACUGGUUUUGGUUCAGUUUGAAGGGCUCUCGGGACAAAAGAUAAUUGAGUUGUUGAAUCUGAAUGGGCGCCGCGAGGAGUGGAGGAUCGAGGUCGUGGGUUGCCAGCUUCAAAUUUUGGUUGAGCACUUCCUCAAUAAUCUUGUUGAGGUGUCUGUUUCCCCUCUUUGUGUCAUGAAUGAUUGUGUUGGCUGCAGGCUCUCCGCAAGGAGUUGAAGGCUGAGGUCAUGGUUGCCAGCUUCAAUUUUUUGCUGAGCAAUUCCUCAAGAGUCUUGCCAAGAUCUGAGGAUGAAGGGAAGAAGAAGGAUUUAACUAAAGAGUUGAAGAAGAUGAAGGUGAAUUUUCUUCCCUUUGUUCUUCUAUUCUGAUGUUAAGAUUUGUGAUGGCUAGAUGAGAUUUGUGGUGAAAAUUUCCCAUUCUUUUAUUUACCUACAUAUCUUGAAUGCACGAUUGAUGAUUUUGCUGGAUAGGUUACAAAUCUAAAUAAUAAACAUUUUUAAAUGAUGUGGUUGGUACACAUGCGAAGCUAAGAAAAUAUAUAGUUUACUCACAGUGUUGUUUGAUCCAUUGUUGUGUGACAGGCUCGCUGAUGGUCUGGCAAUGCUGCAUAUACAUCUGAAUGCCAAUGAUAGUAUGGUUUAGAUAGACAAGUUAAUAAUUUCUUUUUCUUCAUCAAGUUUACGCUUCCAUUGAUCUACAUUUAAUUUAAUUCACAAACCCGACACCCUUUGGAGUAGCCCAUGUGUAUCUCUGAAUCUUGGCACUUGGGUAUUAUAUGUAUUUCAUUGGUUCAUCGCACAUUGUAGCCAUGCAUGGGCCAGAGACAAUCGGCGAUAAAAACGAUCUGCUUGCAAGUUCUAUAUUACCAGCGGAGGCUUUGCCAAGAGGAAGGGUAAUUCGUGCAGGGGAAUAAACCCUACAUGGUAAUCCAGGGGAACAUGCUUUAUAAGUUGUGCUUUUUGUAAGCUAAGCUGUGUUUUUCAACCCGUUGUCCUUUAGAUAUCUUCCUUUUACAUUUUUUGUAUGUGAUGGUUAGUUGAUCAGGUUGAGUGCUUCUUUGCAGUGCUUGCUUCGUUGGAACAUGUUCAUUUGGCUAAUAAAACAGUACACAUCUCUCUUGAAUUAUGUGCAUCUCCUUUUUAGUUAUUUGAUUUUUUUAGUGACUCGCUAAUUGGAAAAUCGGGAUGCUAAAACUUGGCAUAAUGAAUUCUUGAAUUACGUACUUCUUAUUGUGCAUGUCAAACUAAGGACUAAAUAUAUUUUUAGUUGAGAUAUUGUUUUGAGUAUUUCUCUGCAACAACUUAAAUUACUUUUUGCAAAUAAAAUGAGCUAGCAUAUGCUAUACUUGCAAUGGUAAAUUAAUUAUGCAGUUCUGAGGAUUGAGGAAAUUAAUGGUCAGUCGUUCAUUGAGGGUUUGAAAGAGCCAUCAAGGCAACGAUCUCAUUUCAUCUCAUGCAUUGAUUUUGUUAUCUUCUUUAUAUGGCAUUUUAUUAAUUAUUUAUAUAUAUUUGCCGUAUUGCUGUUUCUAAAAAUUGCUGUAUCCUUUGUCCCCAUUUCCGUAUCGCUGUAUCUGUGUUGCCGGUGCACCAUAGCAAUUACUUAUUGAAGAAAAAUGUCCCUUUUCUUGUUCCCAUUGCUCGAUAAGCAUGAUCGCAUUUCUACCGAUUGAUUAUAAAUAUGGCCUUUCUUUUGAUUAUUUGAUGGUACUUCUGAUUGGCACCAUGAGGUCCUUCUUUGUCGUGUAGAUUCAUCCUUUACUUAAAUACUGAUGAUGAUAUGGUUGUAAAUUAGUCUGGUAUAUGCCAACAGUUGUCUCUCCCAGAAGAAUUUUUGUGAGAAUAGCGUACCUAAAGAGUUGGUUGUUUGUCUGGAUUGAACACCCAACUAUAAGAAUGGGUUGACAACACCGAUUGACUCUAUUGGCGCUUCUAUGUUGUCCAGCUUCAUCAUUUACUUAUACACUGAUGAUAUUGUUGUCAGCGUGUUGUAAGUACUUUGGGAAACAAGUCUGGUAUAUUACAAUGAUGUAGUCCUGCAGAUCAGUACAGGUCACCGGCUUUAUAUUGUUGUCAGCGUGUUGUAAGUACUUUGGGAAACAAGUUCUGGGGUAAGUUUACCUGCUUGCUCAUGCAUUUUAAUACUUGAUUGAUGUCCUGAUAAUUUGUGAAGUUCUGUGUACCAUGUGAUAAGCUGCACAUCAGGUUGCAUGGCAGCUUGUUUGUUGCUUUUAGGAUGUGCAUGUACCCAGGUGGAUCAAAUACAGAUACCAAUCAUAUAUUAUUAUUUUUACUCGUGUGUUUUUUUUGUGCCUGCCAAACAUUUCGAAAAUUGAUUAUAUCAUUCAGAUGUAUUCAGGCUGGGUUUCUGUGAUCCAAAAAAAUCAUCUGCCAUGGCUUUCUUUUUACAUACAAAACUAAGUGUGGAGCAGUGUAUAUUUUCAUUGCUUUCUUAUCACAUCACAUUUGUCGGAGGUGUUGUACUGAUUUGAAGGAAAUGCUUUUAUAUUUCCAAGUUGAUCAACUACACAACUUCUGAUCCUAAAGCCUUUCUUUAAAAGGGGCUGGUCAAUGCAGCUCCAUGUUGUGCUAUCUUGCUAUUGGGCUCUUUUUUCGUUACUUAAAAUGGUCAGAUAUCUCUGAUGUUAAAUUCGUGGUUGAUUGCUUAUAUCCAAAAUAACUAUUUUAGUACACUGAAGCCAAUUUCUAAAUUGUUAGUGAAGUUGGCUAAAUAGUUUUUGCGCCACUAAGAUAUAUGUGCACUGCAUUCUAACCCUGUAAAUUGUUGUGCUAUUAGUUUAAUCCAGAAUAUAAUUAUGUUAUAUUCUGCUUUUGUCAGUUUGCUGGUCCAUAUUAAUUUCCUCGAGCUUAUUUUCACAUCUCGUCAUAUUUACACCUUUCUGCCAACUGCCACCUAUCAUGGAGGGAGAUGGCUUGGCCAGGCCGUCAACACCCAUCGGCAACUUCCGGCAGGCGCCGUCCCGUUCUUCCUCCCCUUACUCUGAUGCCUUCAUGGCCAAAAUCAUUAGCAGGAGCAAGAAGGUUAAGCGCCAAUUAUGGUUAAAGCUUUGUCUCUUUUGUGUACUAUGCAUGAUUGAUCUGAUUUUGCUGGCCAGCUUACAAAUUCAAGUAAUAUGGCUAUUGCAAUGCAUCUUACUACGUGUGUAUUUAUUUGCAUUGAUAUUUUCUCCUUCUUGGGCUCCAAAUCGUUUGUGGGUCAUAAGUUAUUGUGCAUUAUUGAUGAUUAAUUUGCAAUUUAAAUGACAACAGGGUUGGGUUUUAUAAGUGUAAUGGCUUGAAAUGUGACCUUCCAUUCAAGAUAUUUUGUCAGUGAGAAGCUUAUGUGAAGAAUGAUGUAAUUAAGUUAGCAAUUUACAGUUCUCUUUGAUAAUUGUAACUGAAUUGUCAAUGGUCAGUUCUCUUGAAUAAUGAGUUACUCCCUCAAUUUUACAAUAGAGAUAAUUUGUCAAAAUUGUGUUUUUGUAAUGUUUGUGGUCUUCUUUUCUCUUUUUCUUGAUUUGUAUUGUAUAUGCUAUUUGCAUAUUUGAACAUGCAUAGGGCCUCUCAGUCUUUAACCUUGACUAUAAAAAUCCAUUGAUGGAAGCUGGGGAGGGCUGAGAUGAACAUCCGGCUCGAGCCAUCGAGAUGGUAGAGACGACGUUUCCAUGUCACCUACUCCAGCAGCCGGACAAGGCAUAUAAAAACCAGCAGCCGGACAAGGCAUAUAAAAAUCAUGGAUCCUUGCUCCCUAGGCCACAAAAUGAUCAAUCGUAGAUGUAUGAAUCUCAAUCUCAUGUUUGGUUUUCUUCCCUUUUCUCUUCUAAUGAUGUAAUUUCUUUUACUAAGAUAACAUCAUGCUUGUUGCAAUGCCUUAUUUGAUGUAAGAUCCCUUUUCUAUUUUGAAUGAAUUUACUGCA
Triticum aestivum (bread wheat) is the source of this 4824-nucleotide long non-coding RNA. RefSeq lists it as uncharacterized. Lineage: Eukaryota; Viridiplantae; Streptophyta; Magnoliopsida; Poales; Poaceae. The transcript has 5 exons. The record is from RefSeq and is a predicted model, not a curated record.